UGUGUGUGCUCCAUGUGAAUGACAUAGGUGCUUAUGUAGGUGGGCUCCAACUUAGGCGAAAAUCGCGUUAUGUCGUACUAAACCCGAGGACCUAAUGUACGCAGGAUCAAGGCAGGGGCCGGGUCAUAAAGGACCUUAUAAACCAAGGACUUUGGAUUUCUUUUCUAAAUAAAAUGGGAAGUCACUGAAAGGUUUUGAACAAGAGAAAGACAUCUGAUUUACAUUUUAAAAUAAUCACUCUGGGCUACUGUGUAAAGAACAAACUAGGCUAGAGUUUUCAGUUUAAAUAAGCAAAAUAUAUGGGCUGAUUUUGCUUUUUUAUUGAAAAUGUCUGAAUGUUAUACAGUUAAUCUUUAUAAAUAAUGUCUUUUAAAAUGCUAACAAAAGGUUAUCUAGCUCAAGUGCUUCAGUCAAUUAGUGAAGGCAAGUUACAAUAUAAGAGCAAGGGAGUUUGAAAUCAACUGGCACAAGGGGUAAAAUUAAGCAAAUCAAAUGAUAUGUAGUAAUUACUUUUCAUUUCAUCACACCAUCUGAAAAAAAAUGGCAAAAUAGCAAGCAUGUCAGCACAAUGUCAAAAGGCCCCAAAUUUACCUGCUCCAAACCAAUUUAUGAAUACAUGGCAAUGAAAUAAUUAAAGGAGCCUGAGAGCAAGAAGCCCAGUUAUUCAGAAGCUGAGCACAUAUAGCAUAACUGGCAAAUUUCUAUCAGAUUAUGACUGACUUAACCUACCUGCUGAUUAGUAAAUGCUGAGUACUAUAGGGCUAUGUAAGGAUUUAUUACUGAAAAAUCUACCAUGUUGAUCCAGGUCUAACAAGAAAAUUUCAGUUACUAAAAUCAAAGUAAUAACAACUCCUAUGGUUUUAGCAGGGUUUGCUAUAGUUUGUUGUGGGAUCCCAAUUAAAGUCCUAGGAAUUAAAUAACCAUAGACCUAAAAAGGUAUUUCAUGUGUUACAAAUUUAACAAAUCUAAAAUAUCUUUAUCUACUUUAUUACUGUGACAGGUAUGAUAACAGGCCAAAUUACAACCAUACUUUCCAACAAGGACUUUUGUUUCAACCAAUCAACCAAAUGCAGCCACCACCAACUCCUUACUGCUUCCUGGCUUUGUAUAACUGAGUGCUGAGUAUCAUGCCAGCAGGCUUUAAUAAAUUAGCAAUUAAAAGCAAAUUAUACAUAA
Myotis brandtii (Brandt's bat) is the source of this 1176-nucleotide long non-coding RNA. RefSeq lists it as uncharacterized. Lineage: Eukaryota; Metazoa; Chordata; Mammalia; Chiroptera; Vespertilionidae. The transcript has 2 exons. The record is from RefSeq and is a predicted model, not a curated record.